Long non-coding RNA from Pan troglodytes (chimpanzee), 3447 nucleotides. RefSeq lists it as uncharacterized. The transcript has 2 exons. Lineage: Eukaryota; Metazoa; Chordata; Mammalia; Primates; Hominidae. The record is from RefSeq and is a predicted model, not a curated record.
GUUACAAUUAGAUCAAAUUGAUAAGAAUGCUGUUCAGGUCUUCUAUAUCUUUACUGAUAAUCUGCCUCCUUGAUCUACCAAUUAUUGAGAGAUGGGUGUUAAAGUCUACAAAUAUAAACGUUGAAUUCUCUAUUUGUCCUAUUCUUCCUUUGACUACACAAGCAACAGCUGUCUAGCUGCCUGAACAGGACUGGAUCUAAUGCCUCUACAGAAAUCUAGGUCAAAACACUUGGAAUGCAUGAAUAUCAAACAGAGUUUUCAAAACAGCAAAUGAAUACAUCUUUAACUGGUGACAUUUUCCUGUAGCAUAUGGCUGCAAGCUCAGGGGACUAGAUGCUUUUUUGAUGAAUAUGUUCCAUCAAAAACUAAGAGAUGGCAGUAGGCUUUUUCCACCUUCUGUUUUGCCUUAUGAAAUGAUAAUGCAAACUCAUAGAUAGACACAAUGAUCACAAGUCUUUUGCCUUCAAACCUAUUCUAAAGAUGCAUUUUCCCUUUUGGAUGAGUUGCUUUAUAUUUAUAUGGGUUUAGGUUUUGUACAUAGUCAUUAAAGGUGACAGCCAGUGGGGUGGUUUCUUUUCCUGGGUAAAAUGUGAUUGGUGGAAAGCUUCAAAAAAUUGAACCGAAAAGCAAAUACUCACCAAAGAGGGAGACUGGGGAGUUUGGUCACAUAAGUAACUUAUACUCCCAGUGGCAAAACAUUGAAUCCCAAUCCAUUGUCAGUGUCAAUAUUGAGGUGCUAGACAAUCAUUUACCAAUGAGUAAAAGAGAAAAGCCUUGGGAAAUUGGAGGCUAGCUCCUUAGUUCUGGAUCUGCCAACAAUAAGCCAAAGGUGACCCUAGGCAUGCCUUAUCAUCUCUAUGGCCUCACUGUCCCUCUCAUAUGUCAGAUAACAGGACAGGGCUAUAUUAUUUCGAAGGUCUCUCCUAGAUGUAAACUUCCAGCUAUGUGUAAGUGUAUUAAGCUGUUUUGUUGUUAUUAUAUCAUGUUGUUUGGAAUGAAUGUCACAGCAGAGAAGAGUAGGCCUUGAUUUCUUUUUUGAUUGGCUGUAAAAUUCAUUUUUUAUCAAAGAAAAAUUCUCCAGAAUUCUACCUUUUCCCCACCAAUAAAAUAAGGCAACAAUGGAGCUGUUGGUUAAGCAGGGGAAGGAAUUAGGAUGCCCCCUUGGCUUGGUUUGUCUCCUACUUCUCAGGGCAGCAUCUGAAAACUAAGUGUGGAAAAUCUGGGUCUCCACCAAGCCCAGUGUGAAAACCACUGGCUUCGAGGAUGUGCGUAUUAGUAAUGGUGUUGGCUGUGGAGAGAGAGGUGUCAGAAACGCAUUUUUUUCUUUGUGCAUUUAGCUAAAGUGUAUUAACCAAACUUAGUUCAUUUCAGUGACAGCUUAAACUUUAAGCCUGAUAUUCGCUCUUGGUUUGGCUUUUGUUUAAAAAAUAACCAGCAGAACCUGUGAUUGUAACAGGAAUCUAUAAAUGGAUUGUUUGAUUCACAAGGUGAACUUGGAUAUAUGUUGCCUUCAUUUGGUAAUGCCUUACAAGAGUCUUGAAAAACUCAUUUUAGAGGUGAAUUCUCGUUCCCACCACAGAUAUUCUGUUACCCAGUUUUAUGCCUCAAAAGCUACCACUGUUACUAGGUACUUGAGUAAGUGUUCAAAGUAAUUUAUAAUUAUAUACUUAUACGCAUAUGUAUGUGUGUGUGUGUGUGUGUGUGUGUGUGUGCGCGCGCAUGUUUUACUUUUUAGUGAAGUGGUAGGGUGUGGUAUAUACAUAAUAGCCCUUUUUUUUUUAACCUAGUAAUACGUCUCAGAUAUCAUAUCUUAGCAGACCUGUAUAGCCUGGUUCUUUCUUUUAAAAGACUUCAUAAUCCCUUAUUGUGGACAUAUAAUAAAUUUUAAAAUAAUCCGUCUUAAAAUACUUUUACUUGAACUUACUUGUUUUUUUCCCCAUUUACUGUCAAGAUAGUGAUGAAUAUCCAAGCAUGUAUGUAUUUAUGAAUAGAUAUGAGAACAUCUAAAGGCAAAUCUCCUAGAAAUAAAAUUGCUGGGUCAAAGGAUAUGUAUACAUUUAAUUUAGGUAGAUAGUGCCAAAUAAUGUUUAACUAUAGUUAUUAUUUGCAGUUUAAAAACUUGACUGUAGUUGAACAUAUUUUCAUAUGUUUAAAAAUUACUUAUAUGUAAAAUCUCUGUUCAUCUUGUAUGUCCAUAAAUGGAGUUAAGACAACUUAGUAGCCAUCUGGAAAAAAAUAAAAUAGUAUUUCUACUUUAUUUGCAGAACAAAAAUAAACUCCAGAUGGACCAAAGAUUUUAUGCUAAAAAUAAGUACAUUAAAGUACUAUUAGAAAACAUGACAGGAUGUUUUCUUGUAAGUAAUCCGGAACUAAGGAAGAUCUUUCUAAGCAUAAUACAAAACCUGCAAGCAAUGACUCUGAAGGUGUGUAAGUCAAUAAAUCAAUAGAUAUUGAAAAAAUUUUAAAAAGGAAUGACCAACUUUGGGUAAUGACAAUGACACAUUGGACCCAGAGUUGUUCACAUCGAAUAGUUUGUAGCAGACGCCCAUUUAGGCUCAGUUUGUAGAGACUUGAAAAACUGUUGCUUUCACCUGAACAGUGAAAAUAAUCUGGAUAAGCUACAAAAUCAUAUUUUAUUUAAAACCCAUCAGAGGACCAAGAACACAAAAAAAAGCUAAAUGAAAUUAAUUCUAGAAAACAAAUAUCUCUUCAUAACUACACUAGACCCACAGCCACUCUCCUCCCUCAUGGAGCUGCAGAAGAAAAGGCCAGACCAUAGAUAAGAAUAAGGAGAAGCCAGCCUAACCUAUAAUGGUCUUUUAAUAACUCUGGGUGGCCUGGCAUGACAGAUGAGAAUUCUACAGGGCCUCAGCCACAUAGCAAGUCAGUAUCCAUCCUCCAACUCUUCACGCCCACCCUUCCAGGUCUUCACUGCCUGCUUGACUGCUGAAAGGUAGCUCACUGAAGGCUGGUGACACCUUAGGACAGCCAAGAAUAAUUUCUGCUGAUCAGGAGAAAUGAGAGAAACUGUCCAGCCAUACAGCCCUUCCAAGAAAGUGAGGCAGCCACACACACAGAUAUACAUACAUCUCAAUGAAUAACAUAUUAUAGAGUUUGGCAUGUUUUAAAUUUUAUAAAAAGAGUAUGUCAUUCUGUAGUUCGUCUUCUGAAUUUUUAUUUUUCAUUUAAAUUACACUGACAGCCAUUCAUUAUAUGAAAUGUGGCUGUGUUUCAUUUCAUUCAUUCAUUCUUACUGCAAUUCCUUUUUGUGACUAUACCUUAAUAUUUUUAGCCAUUCCCUUCUCUAUGAACAAGCAUUGUUUCUGGAUGACAAAAAUGCUGCUGUAAACAUUCUUGUACAUUCUUCUGGUACUUAUGUGCUAAACUUUACAUUGUGUAGGUACUCAGGUAUGGACAUUCUGAAUAAAGAAAUAUUUAACUUUACAA